AAUACAUUGGACUCCGUGGGUGCUACAGAAAUGAAAUGUGCUUUGCUGUGUCUGUGCUGAGAGUUCAAGAUGUAUUUUUUGAUAUCAUUAUCAGUCUAGAGAGUGGUGAGCCCUGAGUGCCCCCAACUUUGCUAUGAAGACCAAGGCACUGUGGAAUUGUGUGUCUACGUUUGGAAAGUCAGCUUGUGCCUAAAUGGAUUUUGAAGAUAUCAGGCAUUCUAGGAUUGAGAAUGAGAAUUCCUUUUGUUACAACAGGCAAGAGUAAGAGCCAAUAAAUAAAAGAAUGCUACAUUUUAA
This is a long non-coding RNA of Gorilla gorilla gorilla (western lowland gorilla), 297 nucleotides long. RefSeq lists it as uncharacterized. Lineage: Eukaryota; Metazoa; Chordata; Mammalia; Primates; Hominidae. The transcript is spliced from 2 exons. The record is from RefSeq and is a predicted model, not a curated record.